UACGUAGGGAGCGAGCGUUGUCCGGAAUUACUGGGCGUAAAGGGCGCGUAGGCGGUAUCUUAAGUCAGGUGUGAAAACUCCGAGCUCAACUUGGAGAUUGCACUUGAAACUGGGAUUCUUGAGGUCAGGAGAGGAAAGUGGAAUUCCUAGUGUAGCGGUGAAAUGCGUAGAUAUUAGGAGGAACACCAGUGGCGAAGGCGACUUUCUGGACUGCACCUGACGCUGAGGCGCGAAAGCGUGGGGAGUGAACGGGAUUAGAUACCCCGGUAGUCCCUGA
RNAcentral lists this ribosomal RNA (277 nucleotides) under uncultured prokaryote. RNAcentral's name for it is "partial 16S ribosomal RNA". It matches the Rfam family "Bacterial small subunit ribosomal RNA", at positions 524 to 800 of the family's 1533-position model. The record is from RNAcentral.